This is an RNA transcript of Glycine soja, 4315 nucleotides long. RefSeq lists it as uncharacterized. The transcript is spliced from 8 exons. NCBI's taxonomy places the organism in Eukaryota, Viridiplantae, Streptophyta, Magnoliopsida, Fabales, Fabaceae. The record is from RefSeq and is a predicted model, not a curated record.
UCUUACCUUAAAAUAUUUUUUUCAUUGAUGUCAAUGUUCUAUUUGAGUUCUGAUUUAUUAGUUAAGAAAAAGAAGAAGAAGAAUUAGAAUUAGUCUCACUCUGUUUUUUGUUUCUUGUUUGGGGUGUUAAAGAAUAUGUCUUCAAUAAGAAUGCAUGGUGCAUUGGCAUCACAAUUUAUUUUGGUUUUGUUAUUUCUGGCAUCAUGUGUUGUUUGUUCCUUUGUUUGUUACUAUGUUGGGUAAAUGUGUCUGGAAUGUUUUAGAACAUCUCAUUUUUGUCUAAUUUUUGUUCUGUGUUCAGGUUUCAUCAUUUAGAGUGAGUCAGCACUCAGCAUAGCUGCCAAGAAUAGCAGUGGUGUUUUCUUGUGAAGAUGGUACUGGGAUUAAGAUCAAAGAGUAGAAAACGUGUUUCAAUCCAAGUUCACUACAUCAUCCAUGUUCUGGAGAUCAAGCCGUGGCCACCUUCACAAUCACUGAGAUCUGUUCAAUCAGUAUUUCUGCAAUGGGAAAAUGGUGAUAAAAAUUCUGGGUCUCUGCCAUCCACUGCUGGCAAUGGGAAAAUUGAAUUUAAUGAAUCUUUCAGGCUUUCAGUGCUUAUGUGUAGAGAAGCAUCCAAGAAAGGCAAACACCCUGAAAGUUUCCAGAAGAACUGCUUAGAGUUUUACUUGUAUGACAAGACAGUAAAGAGUCAACUGUUGGGAUCUGCCAUAGUAAACCUUGCAGAUUUUGGAAUUAUUAAGGAAACUAAAGCCUUAAGCAUUGUGUUUAACUGCAAGAAGAGUUUCAGGAAUUCUUCACAACCAUUUCUUUAUGUUACUAUUCAGCCAUUUGAUAUAGAGAGUUCCAGCUCAUCACCAAGCAGCAGCUUAUCAAAAGAAUUGUCACUAGAGAAGGAAGGAAGCGAAUCUGUAUCACAGUCACUAAAAGAUGAUGACGAUCUUGAAAUUGCCUCUUUUACUGAUGAUGACAGUGAUGACAUCCCUUCAAAUACCUCCCAAACUAGCAGAUCUGCUUCAGAGAUUACUGGAGACAGCACCAAAAUCAGCAGAGGAAGAGAAGGAUCUCAUGGAGAAUUUGUUCUACCCUCGGAAAGUACUACUGCUAGCUUAAAUGGAAACACAGAGGGUGAACCAUCCACACAAUUCAGUGGCAUCAAUUCUCCCUCUUCGUCUACAGUUCUGAGCUCAGAUGUGGGAAUUGCUGCCCAUGGAAGGCCUUUAUUACCUAAAAUCUCCGAGGAAAUUGUUAAACUUGCUGAUGCAAGUUCUGAAAUUCAAAAAAGCAUUCAACAAUAUUCUCCUUCAUACAUUUCAUCAAGUAUGAAACCCAACUUUGAAAGAUCUUUACAGCCUCAAGUGACUCAAGAGGAUAGCAUGACUCAAGAAGAUGGCACAAGAGAUCAGAGAUUUAAUAAAGAUUCUCUGGAGAAAGUUAGUAAUGUUUCUAAAACUGGAGUUCUGGAUGACAAAGAGAAAAUGAAGGAGGGAAGGAAAGGACAAGAACAGUUUACUAUGAGGAAUGAACUUUUAGAAAAUGAGCUCGUUAAGAAUUCAUCUGAUGAUGGUUCUAUAAAGAAAGGGAAAUUCAAUAGUACUACUCUUCUGCUAAACAAGAAAACACAUGAACAUCCAAUGAGUAUUUUGAUGAAUGAUAAAACAGAGGAUGUGACAAAUGUGAAGUCUCCUCCACAAUCUUCUGAGAACUAUGGGAUGUUCAUCAGCAAUCAGAACUUUGAAAGAUCUUUACAGUCUCAAGUGACUCAAGAGGAUAGCAUGACUCAAGAAGAUGGCACAAGAGAUCGGAGAUUUAAUAAUGAUUCUCUGGAAAAAGUUAGCAGUGUUUCUAAAACUGGAGUUAUGGAUGACAAAGAGAAAAUGAAGAAGGGAAGGAAAGGACAAGAACAGUUUACUAUGAGGAAUGAACUUUUAGAGAAUGAGCUCGUUAGUAAUUUAUCUGACGAUGGUUCUACAAAGAAAGGGAAAUUCAAUAGUACUACUUUUCUGCUAAACAAGAAAACACAUGAACAUCCAACAAGUAUUUUGAUUGAUGAUAAAACAGUGGACGUGACAAAUGUAAAGUCUCCUCCACAAUCUGCUGAGAACUAUGGGAUGUUCAGCAGCAAUCAGACCCAUAUUCAGGCAGAGGAAAUUAAUACCACAAAUGAUGUUCAUGUUGGUACUUCUUGCCAUGAAGAUGUUAAUGUGAAUGGAAGCUUUCUUAACAAUGAAACUGAAUUGAAGGCUGAAGUUGAAAUGCUUCAAGAAGAGCUAAGGGAAGCUGCUGCUCUUGAAGUUUCAAUGUACUCAGUUAUUGCUGAACAUGGUAGCUCAUCAAACAAGGUCCAUGCACCUGCUCGACGCCUUUCUAGAUUCUAUUUCCAUGCUUGUAGAGUUGGGUCCCCAGAUACAAUGGCUAGUGCAGCCCAGAGUGCUGUCUCAGGAUUUGUUUUGGUUUCUAAGGCAUGUGGAAAUGAUGUUCCAAGGUUGACAUUUUGGUUCUCAAAUUUAAUAUUGCUGAGAGCAAUUGUGAGCAAAGAAGUUGAACGUGAUGGAAAUGGUAACACUCUUCACAAAGAAGAAAAACCUUUUCAUAGCUGGGAGGAUCCAGAAACAUUUUUAGUUGCAUUGGAAAAGGUUGAAGCAUGGAUAUUCUCUCGAAUUGUUGAGUCUGUGUGGUGGCAGACUCUUACACCAUAUAUGCAAUCUGCAGCUGCUAAGAGCUCUAGCUCUAGGAAAGCCUAUGAGAAAAGAUAUCGUGUUGGUGAUCAAGAUCAGGGAAAUUUUUCUAUUGAUUUAUGGAAAAGAGCUUUCAAGGAUGCAUGUGAAAGGAUUUGCCCUCUUCGAGCUGGAGGGCAUGAGUGCGGCUGCUUGCCUGUGAUAGCUAGAUUGGUGAUGGAGCAGUUGGUUAGUAGACUUGAUGUGGCAAUGUUCAAUGCUAUUCUUCGUGAAUCCGCUGAAGAGAUGCCCAUGGAUCCUAUAUCUGACCCCAUUAGUGAUUCUAAGGUUCUUCCUAUUCCAGCUGGAAAAUCAGGCUUUGGGGCUGGUGCACAACUGAAGAAUGCUUGAUGCAGGUAGUGCAUGUUGGGCGAUGAAGUGCUAAUAAAAUAAAAAAUGAAUGUAGCAGAAAUGAGCAUGCUGAGGUGAAUGAGUGCGUACACAAGAAAAGAGAGUAGGAAUGAAUGUAUGUAUCCAUGAGUGUUAUAAUAGCAUCAACUGAAGAGAAGAUGAUGGAAACUCGCUUAGUUUGAUCUUGUGAGAAGAAGACCAGUAGAGGCUUCAGUGAGAAAAGUGAAUCAAAUGGAAGUUAGUCCAAUCAAAAAAGGUGGAGAAAGACCUAAGAAAACUUGAGAAACCAUCUAGUAAGACCUUCCGCUAAAUGGCUUAACUGAAAAUUUGGUUCUUGAUAGAGCUUAAUUUCAUAGUCGUAGAUGCAUCCAUGUAGCCAACUAUACCUAAUAAAAUAAGUUUGGUUGCAAUUCCAUGAAGGAUGUCAUAUGUGAUGGUCGCUCUCUUGGGUAACUUUUUAUUAUCUGUACUCAGAUUGGUGACUGGUCAAGAUGGCUUUCAGAUUUAUUUAGCAUUGAUGAUAGUGACUCACGUGAAGUUAUCAAUGAAAACAAUGAACCCAAAUGUGAACCAUCCUUCAAACCUUUCCAAUUCCUUAAUGCAUUAAGUGAUUUAAUGAUGCUUCCUUUGGACAUGCUUGCAGAUGGGUCCAUGAGAAAAGAGGUUUGUCCAAAAUUUGGUAUAUCAUUAAUGAAACGAGUUGUCUACAAUUUUGUUCCCGAUGAAUUCUCCCCAGGACCUAUCCCUGAUGCUGUUUUCGAGGCCCUGGACGAGGAUAUUGAGGAUGAUGAAGGGGCCAUUACAAGCUUUCCAUGCUCUGCUGGUUCCACGUUCUAUGAACCACCUCCAGCUUCUUCAGUUGUGGGCAUGCUACAAGAAGUGGGAACCAAAACUUCACUGAGAAGUGGGUCAUUUGUGCUCAAAAAAUUAUAUACCAGUGAUGAUGAACUUGAUGAAUUGGAUUCACCACUUUCUGCUCUUGGCAUGGAUGACUCAUCACUUUUGUCCAAGGAACUAGUUAAGGGAGGCCGUAAGGUUGUACGAUAUGAGCUCUUGCGAGAAGCGUGGAAGACCAGUGAAUGAUGUUCCUAUCAAUGUGUUCUUUUUUUUUUCUUCUUGUAUAUAAUAUGUGUAUCUAAAAUUUAGCCCGAUAUAUUUUGUAUUUUUUUUUAAAUAAAAAUCUUGGUCUUACAAUCUUGUACUUUUUAUACCCAUAAAAGUUGCAAGGAAGUUCCUGUAAUUUGCAUUGA